CACUCCUGCGGGAGGCAGCAGUGGGGAAUAUUGGACAAUGGGCGCAAGCCUGAUCCAGCCAUGCCGCGUGAGUGAUGAAGGCCCUAGGGUUGUAAAGCUCUUUCACCGGUGAAGAUAAUGACGGUAACCGGAGAAGAAGCCCCGGCUAACUUCGUGCCAGCAGCCGCGGUAAUACGAAGGGGGCUAGCGUUGUUCGGAUUUACUGGGCGUAAAGCGCACGUAGGCGGACUAUUAAGUCAGGGGUGAAAUCCCGGGGCUCAACCCCGGAACUGCCUUUGAUACUGGUAGUCUUGAGUUCGAGGGAGGUGAGUGGAAUUCCGAGUGUAGAGGUGAAAUUCGUAGAUAUUCGGAGGAACACCAGUGGCGAAGGCGGCUCACUGGCUCGAUACUGACGCUGAGGUGCGAAAGCGUGGGGAGCAAACAGGAUUAGAUACCCCUGUAGUCCCAU
This 448-nucleotide ribosomal RNA is filed under the name uncultured organism. RNAcentral's name for it is "partial 16S ribosomal RNA". It matches the Rfam family "Bacterial small subunit ribosomal RNA", at positions 334 to 798 of the family's 1533-position model. The record is from RNAcentral.